RNAcentral lists this ribosomal RNA (486 nucleotides) under uncultured bacterium. Its description in RNAcentral is "partial 16S ribosomal RNA". It matches the Rfam family "Bacterial small subunit ribosomal RNA", at positions 28 to 507 of the family's 1533-position model. The record is from RNAcentral.
GAUGAACGCUAGCGGCAGGCUUAACACAUGCAAGUCGAGGGGCAGCGCGGGAUAGCAAUAUCCUGGCGGCGACCGGCGGAAGGGUGCGUAACGCGUGAGCGACAUGCCCGUUGCCCGGGGACAACCGGUGGAAACGCCGACUAAUCCCCGAUGGGAUAUUGUGCCGCAUGGCACGAUAUUGAAAGUUACGGCGGCGACGGAUUGGCUCGCGUCCGAUUAGCUUGUUGGCUGGGUAACGGCCCACCAAGGCUGCGAUCGGUAGGGGUUCUGAGAGGAAGGCCCCCCACAAUGGGACUGAGACACGGCCCAUACUCCUACGGGAGGCAGCAGUGAGGAAUCUUGGUCAGUGGGCGGAAGCCUGAACCAGCCAGGCCGCGUGCGGGAAGGAGGCCCUAUGGGCUGUGAACCGCUUUUGCCUGGGGGCAAUAAGGGCGUCGCGCACGUCCGAUGAGAGUACCAGGCGAAUAAGCAUCGGCUAACUCCGUG